UUCUGCAGCAUGUACUUAAGCAUUAAGA
Molecule: non-coding RNA, 28 nt
Filed under: Mus musculus (house mouse)
Lineage: Eukaryota; Metazoa; Chordata; Mammalia; Rodentia; Muridae
Source: RNAcentral